CACAAGCGGUGGAGUAUGUGGUUAAUUCGAUGCAACGCGAAGAACCUUACCUGGUCUUGACAUCCCGGAGACCCUUAGGAAACUAGGGGGUGCUUCCAUCUGGAAGAAUCUGGAGACAGGUGCUGCAUGGCUGUCGUCAGCUCGUGUCGUGAGAUGUUGGGUUAAGUCCCGCAACGAGCGCAACCCUUGCCUUUAGUUGCCAGCAGUUCGGCUGGGCACUCUAAAGGGACUGCCGGUGUUAAACCGGAGGAAGGUGGGGAUGACGUCAAGUCCUCAUGGCCUUUAUGACCAGGGCUACACACGUACUACAAUGGCCGAUACAAAGGGCAGCGACACUGCGAGGUGAAGCCAAUCCCGUAAAAUCGGUCUCAGUCCGGAUUGGAGUCUGCAACUCGACUCCAUGAAGUUGGAAUCGCUAGUAAUCGUGGAUCAGCAUGCCACGGUGAAUACGUUCCCGGGCCUU
This 463-nucleotide ribosomal RNA is filed under the name uncultured Desulfobulbus sp. RNAcentral's name for it is "bacterial SSU rRNA". It matches the Rfam family "Bacterial small subunit ribosomal RNA", at positions 924 to 1382 of the family's 1533-position model. Lineage: Bacteria; Pseudomonadati; Thermodesulfobacteriota; Desulfobulbia; Desulfobulbales; Desulfobulbaceae. The record is from RNAcentral.